RNAcentral lists this ribosomal RNA (548 nucleotides) under uncultured bacterium. RNAcentral describes it as "partial 16S ribosomal RNA". It matches the Rfam family "Bacterial small subunit ribosomal RNA", at positions 355 to 895 of the family's 1533-position model. The record is from RNAcentral.
UGGGGAAUUUUGGACAAUGGGCGAAAGCCUGAUCCAGCAAUGCCGCGUGUGUGAAGAAGGCCUUCGGGUUGUAAAGCACUUUUGUCCGGAAAGAAAUCCUCUGGGUUAAUACCUCGGGGGGAUGACGGUACCGGAAGAAUAAGCACCGGCUAACUACGUGCCAGCAGCCGCGGUAAUACGUAGGGUGCAAGCGUUAAUCGGAAUUACUGGGCGUAAAGCGUGCGCAGGCGGUUUUGUAAGACGGAUGUGAAAUCCCCGGGCUUAACCUGGGAACUGCAUUCGUGACUGCAAGGCUAGAGUAUGGCAGAGGGGGGUAGAAUUCCACGUGUAGCAGUGAAAUGCGUAGAGAUGUGGAGGAAUACCGAUGGCGAAGGCAGCCCCCUGGGCCAAAUACUGACGCUCAUGCACGAAAGCGUGGGGAGCAAACAGGAUUAGAUACCCUGGUAGUCCACGCCCUAAACGAUGUCAACUAGUUGUUGGGGAUUCAUUUCCUUAGUAACGUAGCUAACGCGUGAAGUUGACCGCCUGGGGAGUACGGUCGCAAGAUU